CUUGACGACUUCAUCAAGCUCCUCGCCAGGUGGCAGGUUGACCACAGCAGACUUGAGCUGGUGGAACAUCUCGUCUCGUGACACCAUCCCAUCACCAUUAUGGUCGUACACGCUGAAGCAAUCUGGGUGGGUCAAUCUUCUCGUCGAGGGAGCCGCGGAGGAAGACUGACAUGCCAACGACAAACUCCUCUGGCCCGACACAACCAUCUUGGUCCAUGUCAAACACCUGAUACAUAGCCUCCAUCAAUCCCUCAUCUGUCAUACCGAAGAUCCCAUGCAUGAUGUCCCGGAACCUGCAAGGGAGGGGAAGAGGAGUGAAUGUGCGUGUGAGUCAGGGUAAAUGAGUACUGUACUGUACCAAUGAAGCAACUUUAAACAAAAAAAUCGUUAGUUAAAAAUUGAAAAUAAAUGUGUUCAACUGCUUUCAAACAUUCAUUGACUACAGAGAAAGAAAAAAAUGGAAUUGUUUAUAGUUUAUAGGAAAUGUUAAGAUAGGCAAAAUAUAAAUGCAAGUCUAAUUUUGACCAAAUGCGUCUGCAAGUCAUUUGUGUCCAGCGGUUAUGACUUCAUCCAGGCUUGUGAGUGAGUCAAUAAAGCUAUUUAUGAGUGAGAGGCCUGACCUGUUACCGUCCAUGCGAGGGGAGGUGCCAGUGAGGUCAUGCAGAGCCAGCAUGGCGUCCACCUCUUCACAUGUGACUGAAAAAGAAAUAAGGACAAUUUACUGUAUUUUCAACGCAAUUACAUUUCUAUAACAUACAGUCAACACAUCUUAAUCUUGUACAGUUUAUUCCAUUCAUGCUUAAAAUUGUACACAUUGUUCUUACAUACACCUGUACACACUGAUCUUACACCUGUACAGACUGUUCAUACUUACACCUGUACACACUGAUCUUACACCUGUACAGACUGUUCAUACUUACACCUGUACACACUGUUCUUACAUACAACUGUAUACACUUCUUACACACACCUGUACACAGUUUUUAUGUACGUACACUUGUAGACCAAGCCUUACUUUUCAUUACACUUGCUUACACUAAUGCCCCCGUGUCUUAAUACAACUGUCAGACUAUCCUCGCUUAACCCAUUGACACAAUAUGUUAGUCAAUAUAAAAUAUCAGUGAAAAUGUUUCGUCUCUUUACAUAUAUAAACUUUAACUAAUAUAAAUUUCUAAGUUAACUUCUCCAAACUAAUCUAAGCGAAAGUUAAUUUAAUAUUAAAUCAAUCAAAUUAUGAAUUGGUGUUCCCUCUUGGUCUCAUCCAUAUAGUUCAGCACUGUAGUGUGAUCGACCGUUUUGUACAUAUUUUGAUGAGUACAGACAGUAGAAUUAAAAACCCAAAAUUAAAUAUGCAGUAAUUCUGUUACUCAGUAAUCCCUCUUGCAGUAUUUGUCUAUCCGAUCACCACUGUAAACACCACUGGCUGUUUGCCGUCACUUACAAUGUGUGUUUUUAGCUAUUUUUUCCGCUAGCUUGGAAUAUCCCUUAUAGGUUGUGUUCUUCGACAUGGCCACCUACAGUACACUAGUCUCUAGGGUCACUGUGUGGUGUGACAAGACGCUCAAAUGUUGUUUACACGCGUUACCAUGGGAACGUGGCUAUGAGUAACUCCAAGUUGUGAUUUGUUGCUGAUAUUUAUGUUAACGUUAUAAAGGAAUAAUGACACCACGAUAAUGGAAUACUCAAAGAAUAGACAGAAAUAAGAUGUGAAGAAGUCUAAUUUUUUAUAUAAAUCGUGUGCAUGAUAUAAACACUCGGCCACGUCUCCAUACGAAUAUAUAAUUAUUUAUUUGUGUGUAUAUAAGGGUUUAGCGUAAUUUCCUAUUCCCUGACAACAGUUCAUGACAUGCCUCUUUAACCAACUCGGUGGUACUCCAUUGCCACACUGACACAUGUACAUUUUGUGGCCAACAUGUGAUCGACAAGACGAAAUGAGGCACAGGGUUCCGACUCUGGUAGGCACCCUACUAGAGUACACUAGAUCGGUGUUUCCUGGCUUUUCUCUUGUUCACAUGUUGGCGACAAAAUGCACGCUCGUGUGAACGCACCUUAAUACACUUCCCGCAAUUGGACCGUCUACAACAGCCUCACUAAUAGCUGAAUGACUUACGAAAAGGAGUUCAACCAACUAGCAACACACGGGAUCAAGCAUCAACAUUAAGGCAUAUCAAACUAUCCACAGCAGAGGCGUUUCAAUCCAGUACUCAAAGUAGGAACUUUGUCAAGCACAUCAGGCUCAAUAACAAAGCAAACGCAAGAAUAAUCUAAAACUACCUAAUCUGAAGUUUGGAUUUACCCCUUCAUCGUUAAACGGAUUUUCAACAAGAGGAAUUUACCGUACAACACUGUAUAUCAGCUUCAUAAUCUUACCUGAUGUUGGUGAUGGAUCUUAUUAUAUUACACUUUAUCCAAUGUAUGAAAAAAUUAUUUACGAAUGAAAAUAUGAAAUGCAUAGCAAAUAAAUUAGAAAUAUC
This 2474-nucleotide long non-coding RNA is filed under the name Homarus americanus (American lobster). RNAcentral describes it as "uncharacterized LOC121868027". Lineage: Eukaryota; Metazoa; Arthropoda; Malacostraca; Decapoda; Nephropidae. The record is from RNAcentral.